This is a long non-coding RNA of Apis mellifera (honey bee), 1209 nucleotides long. RefSeq lists it as uncharacterized. The transcript is spliced from 3 exons. The record is from RefSeq and is a predicted model, not a curated record. NCBI's taxonomy places the organism in Eukaryota, Metazoa, Arthropoda, Insecta, Hymenoptera, Apidae.
GUGGACGAGGAAACGAUAAAUAUUCAUUUAACAUGGAACUUGUCCUGUUUCAGACAAGGUCACGUUGUCCGUGGUCACUGACGCCUUAGGCAACUCGAUAAUGAAUCAAGCCGAUGGACAAACAUGCAUUUUUACUCACACACAGCCUCACAACGGAUUAAUCACACAAGCGUUCCGUGCUCGUCGCUAGAUCAGAGUUAUAUAAAAGCUUAUGCUUCUUUAUUAUUAUUAUUAAUUUUUUUUUCCUUUUUUUUUUUUUUUUUUUAAAGCAAAAAUAAUUGCGCCUCGUCUCGAUUCGAGGUCGAUAUAUAUAUAUCCUGAUUUUACAAUUUGGAUUAUAUAGUAACAGUUUAGCUUUUAGAUCGUGCUUUUGAUUGAUUAAUAUUUCAUUCCGUUGAAAUUCUUCUCCAUAUACAUCUCUUUCCUUCUUUCCUCCUUUCCUUUUCUUUUUUUAAAUUUAAGACGCGAUUAAGAACCUUAAGCGUAUGUUGGAAUUUUACGCGGGUAGUGUGACAACGUGCAAGAGAUUAUAUUUGGCGAGAAAUGUUAUGUUGUACGUGAUCCAAAAUUUCUAUCAGAUGCGCGCAAGAUGGAAGAAAAUGAGCGAAAGAAACUUAUUUCAUACUAUAAAUAAUUUCAUUUUAGAAGUGGCCCCUUCUAAAAUGACAAUAUUGCUCGUGGGAUAACUUAGUUUUAAUCGAUGAUUAAAUUACGAUGGAAAUGUUGGAUCUGAAGGAUAACACGAUUGCAUGUGUGUACUUACAAACUGUUGUCGGUGACUGCCUUGGUGAUCUGACCGAGUUUCUCGCCGACGUUCUGAUAACUGAAUGAGAACCCAACCAAAAGUCAAAGAAAAGUGUUCUACAUGUCUGAAGAGCAGAAGUAGCAGAAAAUAAACGAAAAGGGUAUGGGAGGGCCGGUAGCCAUCACCUUGCGCGAAAUUAAAAAAAAAUUAACAUCGUUUAGAAGUGUGCGAAUACUUGCUUUUGGGUCGAGCAAAAAUUUUAGUUGCAUUCGACUUAAAAUUCCAAAAAUAUCAUCCUACGAAAUGAGGAUGAAAAGGCAUAAUAAGAUGUACUUUGGCCAAUUCUGCACUCCAUUCCGCCUUUUGACGAUUCUGUUCUUCCAAAGAAAGUCCUUGCAAUUCGUUCACCACGUUAUCUGACGUUGGCGAAAUGUAACCAGCUGAAUGGAGACUGGCGUCUUCUC